GAGCGCAGGAAGCUGACGGAACUCUUCGGAGGGAAGGCAGUGGAAUGAGCGGCGGACGGGUGAGUAACACGUAAGGAACCUGCCUCAAGGAUUGGGAUAACUCCGAGAAAUCGGAGCUAAUACCGGAUAGUUCAACGGACCGCAUGGUCCGCUGAUGAAAGGCGCUUCGGCGUCACCUUGAGAUGGCCUUGCGGUGCAUUAGCUAGUUGGUGGGGUAACGGCCCACCAAGGCGACGAUGCAUAGCCGACCUGAGAGGGUGAUCGGCCACACUGGGACUGAGACACGGCCCAGACUCCUACGGGAGGCAGCAGUAGGGAAUCUUCCACAAUGGACGAAAGUCUGAUGGAGCAACGCCGCGUGAUGGAUGAAGGUUUUCGGAUCGAAAAACUCUGUUGUAAGGGAAGAACACGUACGAGAGGAAAUGCUCGUACCUUGACGGUACCUUAC
This 448-nucleotide ribosomal RNA is filed under the name Exiguobacterium acetylicum. RNAcentral describes it as "bacterial SSU rRNA". It matches the Rfam family "Bacterial small subunit ribosomal RNA", at positions 49 to 483 of the family's 1533-position model. The record is from RNAcentral. Lineage: Bacteria; Bacillati; Bacillota; Bacilli; Caryophanales.